This 517-nucleotide ribosomal RNA is filed under the name Triticum aestivum (bread wheat). RNAcentral's name for it is "partial small subunit ribosomal RNA". Lineage: Eukaryota; Viridiplantae; Streptophyta; Magnoliopsida; Poales; Poaceae. The record is from RNAcentral.
AAAAAGCAAUGAAGCAUGAAAUUCAGAGAGGUUCCUCGAAAAACACAUUCAGACAGACCUCAGAUACCACGGAAAAAUCAUGAGGAGCCACCUACAACAACAAAAACUACAUCACGUAAUCAGGCAGGAAACUAGGCCAGAUCAUCACCUUCAAACAGCGAAGGAACAGACACCCCAAGCUAGCAGAAAUACAGAGAAACCAACCGCUGCAACUACCAGUACACCUACCUCCACCAUCUACAGCACAAGCCUACAUCCGUUCUGAUUUGAGAAACACAAGCCUACAUCCACGUCUACACGUAGGGGAGAAAAACGACCACAAAAAUGGAAAACCUAUAACCCGCAACUACAAGCUCCUACACAAUUGAGGCCAGAAGAGCAUAGAGGGGAGAAAUUGGGCGGACUACGAAUGGCGGAUUAGGAAAAUACAGCAGCACCUACCACGGAUACAUGAACACAACAAACAGAUGAUCCACGGAGACGAAACUCAGUAGAUCUGGAACUACACGACCACAAC